This 784-nucleotide ribosomal RNA is filed under the name uncultured bacterium. RNAcentral's name for it is "bacterial SSU rRNA". It matches the Rfam family "Bacterial small subunit ribosomal RNA", at positions 45 to 826 of the family's 1533-position model. The record is from RNAcentral.
UGCCUAACACAUGCAAGUCGAACGGUAACAGGCCUUCGGGCGCUGACCAGUGGCGGACGGGUGAGUAAUACGUAGGAAUCUGCCCAUUAGUGGGGGAUAACCCGGCGAAAGCCGGGCUAAUACCGCAUACGCCCUACGGGGGAAAGCGGGGGAUCGCAAGACCUCGCGCUAUUGGAUGAGCCUACGUCGGAUUAGCUAGUUGGUAGGGUAAUGGCCUACCAAGGCAACGAUCCGUAGCUGGUCUGAGAGGACGAUCAGCCACACUGGGACUGAGACACGGCCCAGACUCCUACGGGAGGCAGCAGUGGGGAAUCUUGGACAAUGGGGGAAACCCUGAUCCAGCAAUGCCGCGUGUGUGAAGAAGGCCUUCGGGUUGUAAAGCACUUUCGAUAGGGAAGAAAAGCUGGUUGUGAAUAACAGCCGGUCUUGACGUUACCUAGAGAAGAAGCACCGGCUAACUCUGUGCCAGCAGCCGCGGUAAUACAGAGGGUGCAAGCGUUAAUCGGAAUUACUGGGCGUAAAGCGCGCGUAGGCGGUUCGAUAAGUCGGAUGUGAAAGCCCUGGGCUCAACCUGGGAAUGCCAUUCGAUACUGUCGAGCUAGAGUAUGGUAGAGGAAAGCGGAAUUCCACAUGUAGCGGUGAAAUGCGUAGAUAUGUGGAGGAACAUCAGUGGCGAAGGCGGCUUUCUGGACUAAUACUGACGCUGAAGUGCGAAAGCGUGGGGAGCAAACAGGAUUAGAUACCCUGGUAGUCCACGCCGUAAACGAUGAGAACUAGCGGUUGG